GGCGGCAGGCUUAACUCAUGCAAGUCGAACGCACCUUCGGGUGAGUGGCGCACGGGUGAGUAUCGCGUGGGAACGUACCCUUCAGUCUGGAAUAACCACUGGAAACGGUGGCUAAUGCCGGAUAUUCCCUCCGGGGGAAAGAUUUAUCGCUGAAGGAUCGGCCCGCGUUAGAUUAGCUAGUUGGUGGGGUAAUGGCCUACCAAGGCGACGAUCUAUAGCUGGUCUGAGAGGAUGAUCAGCCACACUGGUACUGAGACACGGACCAGACUCCUACGGGAGGCAGCAGUGGGGAAUAUUGGACAAUGGGCGAAAGCCUGAUCCAGCCAUGCCGCGUGUGUGAUGAAGGCCUUAGGGUUGUAAAGCACUUUUGCCAGGGAAGAUGAUGACGGUACCUGGAGAAUAAGCACCGGCUAACUUCGUGCCAGCAGCCGCGGUAAUACGAAGGGUGCUAGCGUUGUUCGGAUUUACUGGGCGUAAAGAGCGCGUAGGCGGCUUGACAAGUCAGGGGUGAAAUCCCAGAGCUUAACUCUGGAACUGCCUCUGAAACUGUCAAGCUGGAGUGUCGGAGGGGAUAGCGGAAUUCCUAAUGUAGAGGUGAAAUUCGUAGAUAUUAGGAGGAACACCGGUGGCGAAGGCGGCUAUCUGGACGACAACUGACGCUGAGGCGCGAAAGCGUGGGGAUCAAACAGGAUUAGAUACCCUGGUAGUCCACGCCGUAAACGAUGGGUGCUAGCUGUAGGGGGGUUACCUCUCUGUGGCGAAGCUAACGUAUUAAGCACCCCGCCUGGGGAGUACGGUCGCAAGAUUAAAACUCAAAGAAAUUGACGGGGACCCGCACAAGCGGUGGAACAUGUGGUUUAAUUCGAGGCAACGCGAAGAACCUUACCAGGGCUUGCAUGCUUGUCGUAGCUUCCCCAAAAGGAAGUGUCAGUUCGGCUGGACAAUGCACAGGUGCUGCAUGGCUGUCGUCAGCUCGUGUCGUGAGAUGUUGGGUUAAGUCCCGCAACGAGCGCAACCCUCAUCCUCUGUUGCUAACAGGUAAUGCUGAGAACUCUGAGGAAACUACCGGUGAUAAGCCGGAGGAAGGUGGGGAUGACGUCAAGUCCUCAUGGCCCUUACGCCCUGGGCUACACACGUGUUACAAUGGCAGUGACAAUGGGCAGCUACCCAGCAAUGGGAUGCUAAUCUCCAAAAACUGCCUCAGUUCGGAUUGUCCUCUGCAACUCGAGGGCAUGAAGUUGGAAUCGCUAGUAAUCGUAGAUCAGCAUGCUACGGUGAAUACGUUCCCGGGUCUUGUACACACCGCCCGUCACACCAUGGGAGUUGGUUCUACCUUAAGCCGGUCCGCUAACCUUCGGGAAGCGUCCGACCACGGUAGGGUCAGUGACUGGGGUGA
Molecule: ribosomal RNA, 1396 nt
Filed under: metagenome
Description: bacterial SSU rRNA
Rfam family: Bacterial small subunit ribosomal RNA
Source: RNAcentral